UCGGGCCCGAGAAGCCGCUGGGCGCGGAUGACGACCGCGCCGCGGAGGAGGUCGAAGACGUCGCGCGGGUCCGGGAGCCUGCGGCCCGGA
This 90-nucleotide transfer RNA is filed under the name Planobispora rosea. RNAcentral's name for it is "tRNA-Val". Lineage: Bacteria; Bacillati; Actinomycetota; Actinomycetes; Streptosporangiales; Streptosporangiaceae. The record is from RNAcentral.